This 484-nucleotide ribosomal RNA is filed under the name uncultured bacterium. RNAcentral's name for it is "partial 16S ribosomal RNA". It matches the Rfam family "Bacterial small subunit ribosomal RNA", at positions 30 to 507 of the family's 1533-position model. The record is from RNAcentral.
AGCGAACGCUGGCGGCAGGCCUAACACAUGCAAGUCGAGCGGCAGCGCGGGGGCAACCCUGGCGGCGAGCGGCGGACGGGUGAGGAAUUCGUCGGAAUCUGCCUUUUUGUGGGGGAUAACGUAGGGAAACUUACGCUAAUACCGCAUACGUCCUACGGGAGAAAGUGGGGGACCGCAAGGCCUCACGCAGAAAGAUGAGCCGACGACCGAUUAGCUAGUUGGUUGGGUAAAGGCCCACCAAGGCGACGAUCGGUAGCUGGUCUGAGAGGAUGAUCAGCCACACGGGGACUGAGACACGGCCCAGACUCCGACGGGAGGCAGAAGUGGGGAAUAUUGGACAAUGGGCGCAAGCCUGAUCCAGCCAUGCCGCGUGUGUGAAGAAGGCCUUCGGGUUGUAAAGCACUUUUGUCCGGAAAGAAAUCCCUGGAGCUAAUACCUUCGGGGGAUGACGGUACCGGAAGAAUAAGCACCGGCUAACUUCGUG